ACCUACGGCCACACAACAGAGAAUACACCGGAUCCCGUCUGAUCUCCGCAGUUAAGCUCUGUCUGGCAUGGUCAGUACUACGGUCGGGGACGACGUGGGAAUACCAUGUGCUGUAGGUA
Molecule: ribosomal RNA, 119 nt
Organism: Lichtheimia corymbifera
Lineage: Eukaryota; Fungi; Mucoromycota; Mucoromycetes; Mucorales; Lichtheimiaceae
Source: Rfam